RNAcentral lists this small nuclear RNA (338 nucleotides) under Spermophilus dauricus (Daurian ground squirrel). RNAcentral describes it as "7SK RNA (ENSSDAG00000006523.1)". It matches the Rfam family "7SK RNA". Rfam says of the family: 7SK was discovered as an abundant small nuclear RNA in the mid-70s but a possible function has only recently been suggested. Two independent studies have found that 7SK RNA binds the CDK9/cyclin T complex (known as elongation factor P-TEFb). The record is from Rfam by way of RNAcentral. Lineage: Eukaryota; Metazoa; Chordata; Mammalia; Rodentia; Sciuridae.
GGAUGAGAGGGUAAUCUGGCUGCAACAUCUAUCAACCUGUUCAUUGCCAGGGUUGAUUUGAACUGAUCUGGCUGGCUGUUGGGGGUGGGGGUGUCCCCUUCCUCCCUCACUGCUCCACAUGCUCCACAAGUGUCACUCCUAAAGCUUCAUGCUAGGUUGAAGAGAACCACCUUCACAACAGAGGAGACUGUUCUUUGAGUAUACAAAUCACUUUCUUUUCUUCUAGAGCCUCCAAACAAGCUUCCCAAGUGCUGUUGUGAGAGAACAUAAGGUAGUCAGACUUCCAAGACUCUGACACAUCCAAAUGAGGUGCUGCAUGUGGCAGCCUGCCUUUCUUU